AGGUGUGGGGGACAUUCCACGUUUUCCGCGCCGUAGCUAACGCAUUAAGUGCCCCGCCUGGGGAGUACGGCCGCAAGGCUAAAACUCAAAGGAAUUGACGGGGGCCCGCACAAGCGGCGGAGCAUGCGGAUUAAUUCGAUGCAACGCGAAGAACCUUACCAAGGCUUGACAUGAACCGGAAUGAUGCAGAGAUGUGUCAGCCACUUGUGGCCGGUUUACAGGUGGUGCAUGGUUGUCGUCAGCUCGUGUCGUGAGAUGUUGGGUUAAGUCCCGCAACGAGCGCAACCCUCGUUCCAUGUUGCCAGCGGGUUAUGCCGGGGACUCAUGGGAGACUGCCGGGGUCAACUCGGAGGAAGGUGGGGACGACGUCAAAUCAUCAUGCCCCUUAUGUCUUGGGCUUCACGCAUGCUACAAUGGCCGGUACAAAGGGUUGCGAUACUGUGAGGUGGAGCUAAUCCCAAAAAGCCGGUCUCAGUUCGGAUUGAGGUCUGCAACUCGACCUCAUGAAGUUGGAGUCGCUAGUAAUCGCAGAUCAGCAACGCUGCGGUGAAUACGUUCCCGGGCCUUGUACACACCGCC
This 579-nucleotide ribosomal RNA is filed under the name uncultured bacterium. Its description in RNAcentral is "bacterial SSU rRNA". It matches the Rfam family "Bacterial small subunit ribosomal RNA", at positions 818 to 1394 of the family's 1533-position model. The record is from RNAcentral.